UGGGGAAUUUUGGACAAUGGGCGCAAGCCUGAUCCAGCCAUGCCGCGUGCGGGAAGAAGGCCUUCGGGUUGUAAACCGCUUUUGUCAGGGAAGAAAUCUUCUGAGUUAAUACCUCGGGAGGAUGACGGUACCUGAAGAAUAAGCACCGGCUAACUACGUGCCAGCAGCCGCGGUAAUACGUAGGGUGCAAGCGUUAAUCGGAAUUACUGGGCGUAAAGCGUGCGCAGGCGGUUUUGUAAGACAGAGGUGAAAUCCCCGGGCUCAACCUGGGAACUGCCUUUGUGACUGCAAGGCUUGAGUGCGGCAGAGGGGGAUGGAAUUCCGCGUGUAGCAGUGAAAUGCGUAGAUAUGCGGAGGAACACCGAUGGCGAAGGCAAUCCCCUGGGCCUGCACUGACGCUCAUGCACGAAAGCGUGGGGAGCAAACAGGAUUAGAUACCCUGGUAGUCCACGCCCUAAAACCGAUGUCAACUGGUUGUUGGGAAGGUUCCUUCUCAGUAACGUAGCUAACGCGUGAAGUUGACCGCCUGGGGAGUACGGCCGCAAGGUUGAAACUAAAUGAAUUGA
This 566-nucleotide ribosomal RNA is filed under the name uncultured bacterium. RNAcentral describes it as "partial 16S ribosomal RNA". It matches the Rfam family "Bacterial small subunit ribosomal RNA", at positions 355 to 913 of the family's 1533-position model. The record is from RNAcentral.